Molecule: ribosomal RNA, 496 nt
Filed under: uncultured bacterium
Lineage: Bacteria
Description: partial 16S ribosomal RNA
Rfam family: Bacterial small subunit ribosomal RNA
Source: RNAcentral
GAUGAACGCUGGCGGCGUGCCUAAUACAUGCAAGUCGAGCGAACGGACGAGAAGCUGCUUCUCUGAUGUUAGCGGCGGACGGGUUAGUAACCCGUGGAUAACCUACCUAUAAGACUGGGAUAACUUCGGGAAACCGGAGCUAAUACCGGAUAAUAUUUUGAACCGCAUGGUUCAAAAGUGAAAGACGGUCUUGCUGUCACUUAUAGAUGGAUCCGCGCUGCAUUAGCUAGUUGGUAAGGUAACGGCUUACCAAGGCAACGAUGCAUAGCCGACCUGAGAGGGUGAUCGGCCACACUGGAACUGAGACACGGUCCAGACUCCUACGGGAGGCAGCAGUAGGGAAUCUUCCGCAAUGGGCGAAAGCCUGACGGAGCAACGCCGCGUGAGUGAUGAAGGUCUUCGGAUCGUAAAACUCUGUUAUUAGGGAAGAACAUAUGUGUAAGUAACUGUGCACAUCUUGACGGUACCUAAUCAGAAAGCCACGGCUAACUACGUG